Molecule: long non-coding RNA, 381 nt
Filed under: Zostera marina
Lineage: Eukaryota; Viridiplantae; Streptophyta; Magnoliopsida; Alismatales; Zosteraceae
Description: long non-coding RNA (ZMAR_LNC003671)
Source: RNAcentral
CUUGUUUGAAGGGCGUUGCUGGGAGUGACUGACGUAAUCAGGCUUGUCUCACCAGUAUGGAUGACUCCUCUGUGCACCGACCUAAUCCAUUGGUCGUGAGUGCCGAGGGUCGCAUAGUAUCGGGACUCAACCCGAACCAAGGGCCAUCUGAGGGCGAUUUCUCGAAGAAGAGGAAACGAAGACGCGGCCAUGGCAAGGGCAAGGUCCAUGUGCCGGAAGAGGAUGAGGGGUCCGCGUAGUUUUAAUGUUGACUUCGAAGAGCCAUUUCAUGUUGAUCGUGGUGUUCCUAGCCCACGUCGUAGAGCGGGUCGCUCUCUAUUGAAAGAACUCCGCCACCUACCAUGGCCUUGAACAGAAAUCGAGAUCCGGACCUCGAUUUCG